GGGGAAUAUUGCACAAUGGGCGCAAGCCUGAUGCAGCCAUGCCGCGUGUGUGAAGAAGGCCUUCGGGUUGUAAAGCACUUUCAGUGGUGAGGAAGGUCAGUAAGUUAAUAGCUUGCUGAAUUGACGUUAGCCACAGAAGAAGCACCGGCUAACUCCGUGCCAGCAGCCGCGGUAAUACGGAGGGUGCAAGCGUUAAUCGGAAUUACUGGGCGUAAAGCGUACGUAGGCGGUGUGUUAAGCAAGAUGUGAAAGCCCCGGGCUCAACCUGGGAAUUGCAUUUUGAACUGGCACGCUAGAGUCCUGAAGAGGGUGGUAGAAUUUCCAGUGUAGCGGUGAAAUGCGUAGAUAUUGGAAGGAAUACCAGUGGCGAAGGCGGCCACCUGGUCAGAGACUGACGCUGAGGUACGAAAGCGUGGGGAGCAAAC
Molecule: ribosomal RNA, 425 nt
Filed under: uncultured Idiomarina sp.
Lineage: Bacteria; Pseudomonadati; Pseudomonadota; Gammaproteobacteria; Alteromonadales; Idiomarinaceae
Description: bacterial SSU rRNA
Rfam family: Bacterial small subunit ribosomal RNA
Source: RNAcentral